Non-coding RNA from Pelobates cultripes (western spadefoot toad), 240 nucleotides. NCBI's taxonomy places the organism in Eukaryota, Metazoa, Chordata, Amphibia, Anura, Pelobatidae. The record is from the annotation of a GenBank genome assembly.
CUAAAAUUAAUUUGAAAUUCUUCGGUUUAUUUUCUUUUCUUUCACAAGCUUUGCUAGGAAUAACUUGCACACGUGUAUGCAUUUAUCUGUUAGAUGCCAAAGUUGCAGGCACUGAAGUGGAGCGGAUUUUAGUACAUUUUAUACUUGCUUAUAUUAUUAACCCCUAAUGAACAUUGAAAGGGUAUUAGGAGUGUUUAGCAUUAGGGCAACCUAUGUUUUAAAGAGACUUGGAGUUUAGAG